Molecule: ribosomal RNA, 546 nt
Filed under: uncultured bacterium
Lineage: Bacteria
Description: bacterial SSU rRNA
Rfam family: Bacterial small subunit ribosomal RNA
Source: RNAcentral
ACGCAACGCGAAAAACCUUACCAGGUCUUGACAUCCGACUAACGAAGUAGAGAUACAUUAGGUGCCCUUCGGGGAGAGUCGAGACAGGUGGUGCAUGGUUGUCGUCAGCUCGUGUCGUGAGAUGUUGGGUUAAGUCCCGCAACGAGCGCAACCCUUAUUGUUAGUUGCUACGCAAGAGCACUCUAGCAAGACUGCCGUUGACAAAACGGAGGAAGGUGGGGAUGACGUCAAAUCAUCAUGCCCUUUAUGACCUGGGCUACACACGUACUACAAUGGCGGCGAACAGAGGGGAGCAAAGAGGUGACUCAGAGCAAAUCCCAAAAAGCCGUCUCAGUUCAGAUUGCAGGCUGCAACUCGCCUGCAUGAAGACGGAAUUGCUAGUAAUCGCGAAUCAGCAUGUCGCGGUGAAUACGUUCCCGGGCCUUGUACACACCGCCCGUCAAACCAUGAGAGUUGGGAAUACCCGAAGUCUGUAAUCUAACCGCAAGGAGGAUGCAGCCGAAGGUAGGCUCAAUGAUUGGGGUUAAGUCGUAACAAGGUAGCCGU